This 27-nucleotide non-coding RNA is filed under the name Mus musculus (house mouse). The record is from RNAcentral. Lineage: Eukaryota; Metazoa; Chordata; Mammalia; Rodentia; Muridae.
UUACAGGGAAUGUAAUUUUGGCUAAGC